UGUUGGAAAUAAUAGGCAGCGGAAACUUACAAACCGGAUAGCCAACGUAUCCGGGAACCGGAAUCGGAUCGGGUUGCUUGUUUUACAAGCCUUCUUGGAUCGUCCUUGUCUCGAUGCUUUUGGAUCUCCCACGUUUUUCGUCUUCUUCCACGCGUACGCCUUACGUCACGGAAAGGAUCGCCUUACGUCACGGAUGCCAAUCGGAGAGGGCUACCAGAGUCCUCUCCUAUGUCCACACCCUAAAACCCCGGGAACGUAGGUGGAAAUCCCAGAGAGGAAGAGGAGAGAGAAGAAGGAAGAUUUUGUGGAUUCUCGAAUUAGAUCGUAUUCAAUCAUCUCUCCUGCGGGAGAAAACGGGGCGUAUAUAUAAAAUAACGGAACCCCUAAAUAUCCUGAAUCUCCUAUAGAUUAGGAUAAGGAUUGGAAUAUUUAUUAACAUAUAAUAAAUAUCUAUUAUAAGAUAUGUUUCUUAACUGAUAAGAAACAUAUAAUUCAUACUUAUCAUAAACUUGUUAGGAUGAAUCAUGAUCCAUAACUUAUGUGGAUCGGGUCAAAUCAUAACCCGCCAAUGUGGACACACCAUAUGGCAACAAUCUCCCACUUGGCCACAUUGGCCAACUCUCUCUCACUCAUUCGUCUCUUCAUACGGGUAAUAGAGCGUGCGACCUGACGAAAAGAACCACAUGCAGGAGUGCUAAAUUAAGUCACCACCCAACUAAUAUAGCACAUCACUGACUUAAUUCGUCUAUGCCCUAGACGUUUCAACACACACCGGAUCAAGCAUCACAAAGUCCCUCUCCUGUAAUGACAGGGCUCGACCCCACCGUUAUUUCUCGUACUCAUGAUUAUCUCAAGUAACAUAACUGAGAUAACCGCCCGGGCAAUGAGUCACAAGACUUACGUGGUGUGUUAUCGAAACAUCUUCCUCAGCCCCUCACGUUAAUCCAUAUUGGUCCAAGCACUUUACUAGACGUGCUCCGCGAGAUCGUAUUUUCUCAUGACCCUGAGAUACACGCUAAGUUAGUUACUUUUGACCUCCACUUCAUAACGUAGUUCUAAGUCGAGGGCACAAAAGGGUUAGUGCUCACACAGUGACAUGGAGGGAAGAGCUUAUGUCACUCUACUAACUGGUCGACAAGCACAUACAGUAUGAUAUGUAUGCUAUGGCGGAGCUCCCACUCAAUGGGACAUGUCACGCUCUGAAAGAACGCCAUACGAACCUUGGUCUAGGUACCACUAAGGUAUCUAACCACCACAACUCAAGUCAUCUCUCUAACCUGAGCACUUAGGUUCGGCUACUAUACAGGCUCGAUAUGAAAUUUCACCAAAAAUUCAUAUCUGACUCUUGAGAGUCUCAUCUUAAACUAAUUAAGGCGACUUUUAAAUUACGUUAACACUUUAUUCAUAACGUAUAUGAACAAAGCAAUCAUAUUACAACUACUCAAGUUCAAUAUGAUUAUUUAGUCUCAUCCUGCUCACCACCUAGGUGCCAGGGCGAUCACCCGUGUGAGUGGGCUGAUCUGAGCCCGGUGACUUAACGAAUAUGUGCCUACUAGUAUCAAUUACGCAAUCACAUUAAAAGAAAAAACACAUUUUCAUUAAUAAAGCGUAAAAUACAAAAUAAUGUCCAUAAAUCAAAACCUACGAAGACCCAAACUCCCAACGUGGGUCUGGAACACAUCCCUAGCUAUCGGCUUGGUCAACGGAUCAGCCACCAUCCUAGUGGUGGAAAUAUGUUUAAGAACGACCUCGCCUAGCUUAAUCAUAUCUCGAAUGUAGUGAAAUCGGAUAUCAAUAUGCUUGGUCCUGCCAUGAUACUUGGGAUCCUUCACAUACGCCAGGGCAGCCAUGCUGUCAGAGAACAUCUCAACAGGUUCAUUUGCUCGAGUCACGAUGUCGAGGUGUUGGAGAAAUCUCCUCAGCCAAACUGCCUCCUGUACGGCCGCUGAACAAGCAACGUAUUCCGCUUCCAUGGUUGACAAGGCAAUGCAGCUCUGCUUCUUACUGCACCAGGAAAUUGCCCCACCUCCAAGCAUAAACACAUAGCCUGAGGUGGACCUGCGCUCAUCUCUAUCACCGCCCCAAUCAGCAUCACUAUAUCCUUUCAAUCUCAAGUCCCCUCCUUGAAAACAGAGAACGAGAUCACUGGUUCCUUUUAAAUAUCGAAGGAUUCUCUUGACCGCUUGCCAAUGAAUAGGUCCUGGGUUGCUCUGGUAACGACUUACCAAGCUAACAGCGAAGCAAAUGUCAGGCCGAGUACACAUCAUAGCAUACAUCAAACUGCCAAUUGCACUCGCAUAAGGAACCCUACUCAUUUGCUCCUUCUCUUUAUCCGUUUUAGGGCACUGAUCAAGACUCAGAGUUUGAUUCUUCUCCACUGGAGUAUCAACGGGUUUACAAUGAUGCAUCCUAAAACGCUCUAGAACCUUUUUAAUAUAAGAUUCUUGAGACAAACCAAGAAGUCUUCUAGAGCGAUCACGGAUGACCUUUACUCCGAGCACAUAGCUCGCCUCACCCAUGUCUUUCAUUUCAAAGUUGAGAGACAACCACUCCUUAGUGGUAUUGAUUAACUCCAUGUCAUUUCCAGCCAAUAAUAUGUCGUCGACGUAUAGAGAGAGAAACAAAAUCCCAUUCUCUGUUUUCUUGAUAUACACACAGUGGUCCUCCUCUAUCAUGGACAUACCGAUAGAGGUGAUGGCUUCAUGAAACCUGAAAUACCACUGUCUCGACGACUGCUUGAGACCAUAAAUGGAUCUUUUAAGACGACAAACUUUGUCUUCUUGACCUUUGAGUACAAAACCCUCAGGUUGAUCCAUAUAGAUCUCCUCUGCUAAUUCUCCGUUGAGAAAAGCUGUUUUGACAUCCAUUUGGAACAAUUCCAAAUCUAGGUGUGCCACUAAGGCUAGAAUCAAACGAAUUGAGGCAAAUCUCACAACGGGAGCAAACGUCUCGUUGUAAUCUACCCCUUGCCUCUGAGUGUAGCCCUUAGCCACGAGCCGAGCCUUGUAUUUAUCGAUUGAUCCAUCCGCCUUGCGCUUAAUUUUUAAAACCCAUUUAUUUCCAAUAGACUUGCGCCCAGGCGGAAGGUCAACCAAUUCCCAUACUUGGUUCUUGCUCAUGGAGUCCAUCUCAUCUUUCAUAGCAGCCAUCCACUCACUGCAAGCUGACGUCUGCAGAGCUUCUUUAUAAGAAGAAGGUUCAUCGUCAUCGAGCGGAGUACACAUGAAAAUAUCCCCUUCGAUCUCAAAAUGUCGACGGGGAAUAUGUCCACGUUCACUUCUACGCAAUGGAGGGUCCGAAUUGCCGACUUCCAAGGGUAUGCUCUCAUUCAACGAAGCACUCCCACUAGCCGGAGGAUCGCUACCACUUCCUUCAGCGACUUCGGGAAGUGAUCGAUCACCCUCAACCGCAGAUGGGGUAGCGUCGUCCUGUAACUCAUACAAUCCGACGUCUCUUCGCAUUUCACCAAUGCUUGGAAAAUCCCUUUCUAGGAAUUCCACAUCACGAGACUCAAUCUCGGUCAUACCACCAUCUGGGUGUUCACCAUACAUCACAUAACCCUUCGAAUUUUCAGGGUAUCUGAUGAACACAUGCUUGCUCGCUUUGGGGCCGAGUUUUCCGAAUUUAUGUGAGGGGCUGUGAACAUAUCCAGCUGAACCCCAAGGGCGUAAGUAGUGUAAACUUGGCUUUCUACCGCUCCAUAACUCAUAUGGGGUAGUAGGCACUGAUUUGCUAGGGACUCGAUUAAGGAUGUAGGCUGCAGUCAAAAGCGCAUCUCCCCAAAAAUUUAUAGGAAGUUGCGCUUGCGCCAUCAUCGACCUAACCAUGUCUAAUAGAGUACGGUUCCUUCGCUCUGCAACACCAUUUUGUUGCGGAGUACCAGGAAUAGUGAGCUGUCUACUAAUGCCCUUUUCCUCACAAUAAGUCUUGAACUGAUCAGACAAGUACUCACGACCUCGGUCAGUGCGAAGCGCCUUUACACUUCUUUCUAUUUGAUUCUCAGCCUCCGCAACGAAGCGUUUGAAGCAAUCUAAAGCUUCAGAUCGGCGAGAAAGCAAAUAGACAUAUCCAUAACGGGAAUAAUCAUCAAUGAAUGUGAGAAAAUAGCACGCACCAUGCCGGGCCCUCACAUUCAUUGGCCCACAAAUGUCAGAGUGGAUUAGCUCUAAAGGAUGAGAGGCACGAGUAGCCUUACCAAAAGGCUUUCUACAUGCCUUUCCAGCCAGACAAGGCUCACACACAGAUAGGUCAACUUUGGCGAGAGACCCCAAAAGGCCUUCUCGAGCCAGUCUAUUCAUUCUGUCUUGACCUAUAUGGCCUAAUCUGGCAUGCCAUUUAACGGAUUCAUCACAGAGAUUAGAAGAAGAAGAAGUAGAAGUAGUAAAUGCAAACGAAUCAUCCUCCAAAUCUAAUUUAAAGAAACCAUCAACUAAUGUACCAUAACCAAAUAAAGUACCAUGAAAGGAAAUGUCAAGGCGGUUUCUGUCAAAAUGAAAUGAAUAUCCUAGGUGCAACAAAGCUAAAACUGAACAUAGAUUACAUCGAAUUCCGGGUGCAUAUAGCACGUCCUGAAGAAGUAAAGUGCGGCCACCACGCAACUUGAGUUGGUACGAACCGACUCCAAGGACUUCUUCCUUCGUGCCAUUCCCAAGGGUGACGAAUUGUGUGCCAGACGGUACUCGAUGGUAAUCUACGAACCCCACUCGGUCACGAACUACGUGUUUGUUUGCUCCUGUAUCCACAAUCCAAUCGGGAAGAGAAUGAGCUACUAAAGCAUGAGAGCAAACAAAACAGUGUGAGUUGAGUGGUCGGGUUACCUUUUUCGGCUCAGGACAAUCCCGAACGAAAUGACCCUUCUUCUUGCAAUUGUAACAUUUUAGCUUUGUAGCAUCCUUAUUGCCAGCGCGUUUGCCUCUGUGGCGCUUUCCAACUCCACCCUGAGGAGCUUGAUUCCAUUUCUUCUGCGCUCCAUUGUUGUGACGCUUUUUGCGCUUGGGUACAAUCCCACUGCGCUUCUCGGAGCGUGCAACAAGAGCGACAGAACGGUUCACUUCCAAGCGCUCUGCCUCGAGCUCAAGAUGGCGCGAGAUGUCAUUAAACGUUUUAAUGUUCUCGCUGUGCGUCAUCAGGAGCUUCAUCUGGGACCAUUCAGGAUCAGGCAGUGAACGAAUCACCGCUAGAACUUGUUGCUCAUCAGUGAGCUCGUUUCCAGCAGUCUUAAGGUCCCGAAUCAUGGCGCUCAUCACACGAAGGUGCUCAGCCAUUGAAUGCUUCGGGUCUUUAAUGUACUGUAGAAACUUAAGAUUUAGGGCACGUAGCCUUGUAGAUGAAGUUUGACCAAAUGUAAUCUUCAAAUUGUCCCACAUAUCCUUGGCAGUUUCAAAGAUCUCAAACUGUCCAAUGAGGUCGUCUUGCAUGGCACUCAACAUAGUGUACCGAGCAGUUCGAUCCUCCUUGAUCCAUUUGUUAUAGAUCUCCUUUUCAUGCUCAGAAGCUGUGCCUUCGGCAGGCAAGACUCUUUUGACAGAUAGAGUUUCAAGAACCCCUUGUUCAUUAAGCAGGUAUUGCAUUUUCCUGUGCCAAAUAUCAUAAUUCUUUCCAUCUAGCUUAUCACCCCUGGUGAGAUCAGCUAUGAUGUUCUUGGAAGUCAUUUCACUACAUUCAAAAUUAGGUUUGGACAUUAGGCACAUAUUCCCAAAAAAAUUAACAAGAUUGAAACUUUAUCCUCGACACAACGGGAUCGAAAACUUCGCUAUGCUCGUAAUCAUCACCCAGUAUCGAUUCAAAAUAUUACAAUCUUAUUAAUUUUUUCUACUAAUUUUGAAACUUAUUCAAAAUUGAAACUGAUCCAUUUUGAAAGAACACAUCCUUAAAAAAUUUUAUACAUGAAGAACAAAUCACAUGAUGUCAUCACACAGAUAAAAAAAAUAAGUACUUAUGCCAAAAUUUAAUUUGAAAAACGUCGACGCUGCGCAAAACACAUUCCUUUACAUGGCCUUAAUUAUUACAUCACCUUUUUCAUAAUUAAAACCUACUACAUCACUACAAGAUGUACAUCAGAAAAUAAAUAUUCUACAGGAAUGCUGCACACGUCGAACCCGUCUUUCCAAAAUUAAAUUUUGUUAAAAAAUCACCGAAUAACAUAAGUACUUAUAUGCCAAUAAAAUAUCAUGCUACAUAAGCAAAAAAACACCCACAUAGGAUAAACAACACAUGCAUAUUCUAAAAAAAAGGCAUAAUAAGUAUCCAAAAAUAUUACGCAGGAAAUAUAUUUAUCAAAUAUCAUGCAGGAAAUAAAAAUAUCCACACAGGAUUUUUAUUAUUAUUAUUUUUUUUUUUGAACUGCGUGCAGCGAGCUAGGCCGGCUACAGAGCCUGCUCGGGCUCACGCAGGCCCGCCGCACAGGGCCGAGCCCAGCACAGGACUCGUGUGCCCACAGCGGCCGGGCUCGCACGGUUACCGCGGGGCGGCCCUGUGCCCGCAAUAGGCGAGGCCCUGCGCGGUGCGCUGGUGCAGCCCGUGCCCGCAGCGGGCCGGGCCUGCGCGGAGCGCAUGCGUGCAGAGCCCCGCACCCACAGCGGGCCAGGCCCGGCGGUGCGGGCGGUUGCGCUACGCUCCCGCAGCGGGCCGGCCCGCAGGGCGUGUGCGGGUGCGCUCCGCACGGCAGCAGCGGGCCGAGCCGCGCCGUGCGCGCGGUUGCGCCCGCGCCGCCGCAGCGCGGGCCCGCUCGGAGCAGCGGGUAAGCCCGCUCCGCAGCGGGGCGGGGCCCGGGCGGAAGCGGCGGGUGGGCUUCGGUACCUGCAGCAUGCAGAGCCCUGCGCUGGUCGUAGGCCUGCGUCCGUGCCUGCAGCAGGCGGGCCCGCGCAGGUGAGUACCGACGCCGCCCACAGCAGGCCGCUUCAUGCCGCUCCCAGUAAAAAAAAUUGCACGAAAAAACAACAUAUGUUAAAAAAAGUUCACAUGUUCCUAUGAUGAUCAGAAAAAGUAAAACUAAUUUAAUUUUUUUCGAUUUCACAAAGAAACAAAAAAUGCAGAACGGAUCUACAUCAAGAAUUGAUCAAGGAAAAACAUGCGAUCUAAAAUAUAGCAUCACAAGAUAUCAUAUAAGCGAAAACAAGCAUGCUGGCUCUGAUACUAAUUUGGUGGAAAUAAUAGGCAGCGGAAACUUACAAACCGGAUAGCCAACGUAUCCGGGAACCGGAAUCGGAUCGGGUUGCUUGUUUUACAAGCCUUCUUGGAUCGUCCUUGUCUCGAUGCUUCUGGAUCUCCCACAUUUUUCGUCUUCUUCCACGCGUACGCCUUACGUCACGGAACGGAUCGCCUUACGUCACGGAUGCCAAUCGGAGAGGGCUACCAGAGUCCUCUCCUAUGUCCACACCCUAAAACCCCGGGAACGUAGGUGGAAAUCCCAGAGAGGAAGAUGAGAGAGAAGAAGGAAGAUUUUGUGGAUUCUCGAAUUAGAUCGUAUUCAAUCAUCUCUCCUGCGGGAGAAAACGGGGCGUAUAUAUAAAAUAACGGAACCCCUAAAUAUCCUGAAUCUCCUAUAGAUUAGGAUAAGGAUUGGAAUAUUUAUUAACAUAUAAUAAAUAUCUAUUAUAAGAUAUGUUUCUUAACUGAUAAGAAACAUAUAAUUCAUACUUAUCCUAAACUUGUUAGGAUGAAUCAUGAUCCAUAACUUAUGUGGAUCGGGUCAAAUCAUAACCCGCCAAUGUGGACACACCAUAUGGCA
RNAcentral lists this long non-coding RNA (7729 nucleotides) under Ananas comosus (pineapple). RNAcentral describes it as "long non-coding RNA (ACOM_LNC006290)". Lineage: Eukaryota; Viridiplantae; Streptophyta; Magnoliopsida; Poales; Bromeliaceae. The record is from RNAcentral.